Molecule: long non-coding RNA, 2101 nt
Organism: Homo sapiens (human)
Lineage: Eukaryota; Metazoa; Chordata; Mammalia; Primates; Hominidae
Product: long intergenic non-protein coding RNA 960
Source: Ensembl
GUCCUCUUGGUGCUGUGGGCCCUGAAAGUUGUCGAGUGCGCCUGUCCCUGUGGUGGGAGCAGUGGCGCCGAGCGUGCCCACGGGCCGCCGCUUGGGUUUCUCUCGUGUUCAGGGUAGUAUGGACGUGGACAAUGGCAGUGGCCCCUGGCUGGCCCAAGAGCCGGGUCCAGAUACGCGCGCCUGAUUCCAGGCGUCAUAACCAACCCGGGGCCGCGAGGCUGGGAUCAGGCACCCCGGAGCCGCUUGCCCGUGGCCGGGCUGCUCUCCCCCUCUAAGCCUAAGCACCGCCAGUCGCGGCGCUGCGCUUUCCGCCGACCUCCCAGAGCGUCCCGCCGUCGCCGGCGGCCAGCCUCGCGCAGGACCAGUGUGGCGCCGCCCUGCUGUUGCUGGGGGGCGCCCGAGGCCUCCAUUCCUUGCCCAGGCUUCCGGCUCUCGGGGCGGCCUCCCUUCCGCCCACGCUCCAGGGCUUCCCCGGCUCCCGAGCUCCGAGCUUCCACCACAUCGGCCGGCUCAGGACAGGGCUUCCACUGUAAAGUCGGCUGCCAGACGUGUUGGAGCUCACCGGAUUUGUCCCUGGUGCCUUAUUUAGUUCACUUGGUGAGGUCAUGUUUUUUUCCUGGAUGGUGUUGAUGGUAGUAGAUGUUCUUCAGUGUCUGGACAUUAAAAUCUUGGGCAUGCAGCACCAUAUGAGAGGUUUAAAAAAUAAAAUUAAAAAAGAGAAAAGAACCCAGAGUUGAUCUCUGCAGCAUGCCAUCACUGCUGGGGAUGAGGAAACGGUGAUUUCAGGACUGUUUUUUCUGUCUCUUCAGUGCCUCUUUCAGUGAUCUGAGGUUAAAACCAGACUAUGGAGGAUUCAUCAACAGACCAGGAAGCAACAGCCUGGGCUCCAGAAUUGACCAGUAGUCCGUGCACAGACGAGGAGAGGUCCCAUGAAACUUCGGCGCAGUCUGGGAACCGAGCUCUUUUUGUAACAAGUUGUUUGUCAGGAGGCCCGGUCAUGAAAGCCCUUCCUGACUGGGCUCAAGGAAUACAAAAAGGACAACUUGUUUUUGCCAUUGUCUGUUGUUUUUCAAUAACUAGUUCUCCGAAACAGCACUGGAUGAAUGCCUCAAGGGGCUCACACAACUCGUUCCAGGACUUAGUGACCAUUGUUUCUGUCCCUGUUCAAUAGAGUUCAAAUUUAAUAUUUAAAUUUUGCUCCACAAUGUGCCAUAUUAUCUGUAUCCAACCUGUCAUUGGGCAUUUAGGUUGAUUCCAUGUCUUUACUAUUGUGAAUAAUGCUGCAAUAAACAUUUACGUGCUUGUGUCUUUAUGAUAGAACAAUUUAUAUACCUCUGGGUAUAUACCCAGUAAUGAGAUUGCUGGGUCAAGUGAUAGUUCUGCUUUUAUCUCUUUCGAGGAGAGCACUGUUGUGCUUUCCACAAUGGUGGGACCAAUGUACACUCCCAAGCAUCUGUCAUUUUUUGACUUUUUCAUAAUAGCCAUUCUGACUGGUGUGAGAUGGUGUCUCACUGUGCCUUGGAUUUGCAUUUCUCUAAUGAUCAGUGAUACUGAGCUUUGUAUUCUAUGGUUGUUGGUCACAUGUAUGUAUUCUUUUGAAAAGCAUUCAUGUCCUUUGCCCACUUUUUAAACAUUUUUUUAUUUCCAUAGGUUUUAGGACAACAGGUGGCAUUUGGUUACAUUAGUAAGUUCUUUAUUGAUUUGUAAGAUUUUGGUGCAUCCAUCAACUCAUCUGUAUACACUGAACCCAAUUUGUAGCCUUUUAUCACUCACCCCCUUCUCCCGUUUCUCCCUGAGUCCCCAAAGUCUAUUGUGUCAUUCUUAAGCUUUUGCAUCCUUAUAGCUUAGCUCCCAAUUAUAAGUGAGAAUAUAUGAUGUUUGGUUUUCCAUUCCUGAGUUACUUCACUUAGAAUAAUAGUCUUCAAUCCCAUCCAGGUUGCUGCAACUGCCAUUAAUUCAUUUCCUCUUUAUGGCUGAGUAGUAUUCCAUUGUGCAUAUAUACCACGGUUUCUUCAUCCACUCGUUGAUUGAUGAGCAUUUGGAUUGGUUCAACAUUUUUGCAAUUGCAAAUUGUGCUGCUAUAAAUAUAUGUGUGCAGGUA